This 497-nucleotide ribosomal RNA is filed under the name uncultured bacterium. Its description in RNAcentral is "partial 16S ribosomal RNA". It matches the Rfam family "Bacterial small subunit ribosomal RNA", at positions 28 to 507 of the family's 1533-position model. The record is from RNAcentral.
GACGAACGCUGGCGGCGUGCCUAAUACAUGCAAGUCGAACGCUGAAGAGCGUUGCUUGCUCUUCUUGGCUGAGUUGCGAACGGGUGAGUAACGCGUAGGUAACCUGCCUUGUAGCGGGGGAUAACUAUUGGAAACGAUAGCUAAUACCGCAUAACAAUCGGUGACACAUGUCAUUUAUUUGCAAGUUGCAAUUGCUCCACUACAAGAUGGACCUGCGUUGUAUUAGGUAGUAGGUGAGGUAACGGCUCACCUAGGCGACGGUCCAUAGCCGACCUGGGCGGGGGAGAAGCAACACUGGGACUGAGAAACGGCCCAGACGGCUACGGGAGGGAGCAGUAGGGAAAUGUGGGGAAUGGGGGGAAACCUGACCGAACAACGCCGCGGGAGUGAAGAAGGUUUGCGGGUCGGAAAGCUCUGUUGUAGGUCGAGAACGAGUGUGAGGGUGGAAAGUUCACAAGGUGACGGUAGCGUACCAGAAAGCAACGGCUAACUACGUG